CGCUGGGCGUAGAUCCUGCAGGGAGGGAUUUGGCCUGUGGGUCACCCUGGCUUCUGCUGGUCACCAUGGAGAUGGAAUCCCCGCUUGGCGCUGCCCACUGCUUGCUGGGUGUCACUCGGGAUUGACUCACAGCCCAGCAUACUGCCGAAGCCUGAUCUGAGCACCCUGGCAGCCUUUUCCUCCCAGCUUUGUCCCACCUGGCUUCUACCCAGUAGCCAGUAGCCCUAGAGAUGGGACGUAUCCUGCUGGAACCUGCAGCCACCCAAGCCCAGGGCUGAGCCCCCUGGAGCCAAGCUCUGGCCUCCCUGGACCUCAGCCACAUCCCAGAGACCCAGAGAGAGUGACUCAGGUCCGACAGUGGCUCCAGAUGACCUCAAGUGACUCACAGCAAAUAGAAUGAAGCUGACACCCAGCCUUUCACCCGUCAGCUCUCUUUUGUCAUUCACUCAGCAGUGACUGCCACCAUUUCCCAGCUGUAGUUGGAUAUGCCCAGACCGGCUGCAAUCCCAAGCCUGCGUGGUCCAGAUACUAAGAGCCUCAAUUCUGGCUGCACAUGGACAUCACCUGCAGAGAGCAUCCUCUGUAGGUCAUUUGUUUAUUUGUUGCAUGAACUUGAUCCACAUUCAUCUCAUUGCUGGAGUGGCUGUGACCGGAGUCAGCCCAGGUGACGGGAGACUGGGCCUGGGAACUGAAGGCCUUUGAACCGAGGAGAAGCAAUUCUUCACAUCAUCACUGUCAGGCAGUUCUCACUUAAAAAAAUGAACGCCUCUAAAAAAAAAUU
RNAcentral lists this long non-coding RNA (781 nucleotides) under Mustela putorius furo (domestic ferret). RNAcentral describes it as "lncRNA (ENSMPUG00000027160.1)". Lineage: Eukaryota; Metazoa; Chordata; Mammalia; Carnivora; Mustelidae. The record is from RNAcentral.